AUGGAUCAGAUACCAGCAAAGCACAUUCUGAAAUGCUGGACAAAGGAUGCAAGGGAUGUGUUGCCAGAUCAUCUUGCGCACCUUCAGAAAGAUAGGAUUAAUGUCAACUCUAUAACAUUCAAGCACUCGAAUUUAUACACUCAUGCACUUGAAGUUGUCCAUCUUGGUGAUGCCAACACAUCGACUUAUGAAUGUGCAAUGGAAAUGCUGAAGAAAGCAAUGGAUAUGCUAACGCCCAUGGCCAGCGUCCGCAUCGGGAUGGGGCUUGAAGACAGAAUUCAUUCAGAUAAGGGAAAAGACAAGGAGCUGAUUCCAAUGCAUGCAACAGAAAGUCAUGAAGAGAGCAAUGCUGAAGGUAGUGUUGUUGAAAAUUUCAUCGGCUUAAAGCCUCCAGAACGAAAGCAUAAACCAGGAAGACCUACUACCAGCAGGGACAAGCCUCCAUAUGAUGAUCGAUGUGCAAAAAGCAAAAGAUUCAAGGACGCAACAAAUGGAAAAGCUCAUGAUGGUUCUGGCACAAGCAAACGUACUCGUUUCUGCAGUAUAUGCUGUGGAGCAGGGCACAAGAGUACCACAUGUUCGCAGAGGGGUGAUCUCCCUCGCAAAGACAGGAAAGAGGCCAAAUGUUCAAACUGCGGUGGUGGUGGACACAAGAAGAACAUCUGCAACAAACCUAAAGUAGUGAUGCAUGUUGUUGAAAAUGCAACUUUGGAGCAGAUUUCCAUCUAG
RNAcentral lists this ribosomal RNA (729 nucleotides) under Triticum aestivum (bread wheat). Its description in RNAcentral is "partial small subunit ribosomal RNA". Lineage: Eukaryota; Viridiplantae; Streptophyta; Magnoliopsida; Poales; Poaceae. The record is from RNAcentral.